This 393-nucleotide ribosomal RNA is filed under the name uncultured bacterium. RNAcentral describes it as "partial 16S ribosomal RNA". It matches the Rfam family "Bacterial small subunit ribosomal RNA", at positions 523 to 918 of the family's 1533-position model. The record is from RNAcentral.
AUACGGAGGAUGCAAGCGUUAUCCGGAUUUAUUGGGUUUAAAGGGUGCGUAGGCGGUUUGCUAAGCGGGAGGUGAAAUGCCGGCGCUCAACGUCGGAAGUGCCUCCCGAACUGGUGGACUUGAAUGACUCUGCCGUGGGAGGAAUGUGUAGUGUAGCGGUGAAAUGCUUAGAGAUUACACAGAACACCGAUUGCGAAGGCAUCUCACGAAGGGUUGAUUGACGCUGAGGCACGAAAGCGUGGGGAUCAAACAGGAUUAGAUACCCUGGUAGUCCACGCAGUAAACGAUGAUUACUAGCUGUUUGCGAUACAAUGUAAGCGGCUGAGCGAAAGCGUUAAGUAAUCCACCUGGGGAGUACGUUCGCAAGAAUGAAACUCAAAGGAAUUGACGGGG